CUAGGAAAGUCCUUGGAAUAUAUUAGGCUUGUAGAGAAUUCUAGAGAAAGAUCUUAUCUUGUAAAUAGUAAGGACUUGUGUAAUAUUUAAUAUUUACACACUAGCCCUUAGGAGACUAGUAUAUAAAGGGGAACAUUCAUUUGUAAUUCGCCAAGCAAACAUUUCAAGUUCCCUCUAAUACAAAGCUUUCUUUAACAAUUCUCUUAUGUUUUUUCUAACAUUCUCUUAGUGAUCUUGAGCGUAGUAAUGUUGACUUGGCAUAGUAAGAACGUGAGAAAGUUGUGCAAUAUCAUGAGAAAGUUAUCAAGUGCCGCACAUGUACCUAUUUAAUGACUAAGGACGUGAUGAUAUGAUGAUGUGAUAUUAGAGCGAAGGUUUUAACUAAGGGAAUGGAGAAUAGAGAAUUAGCGCUGCCAACACCCAAGUCAACGUCAUCCAGGAUGCUACUGACAAGACCGGUCGUAGCAAAAAGAGGAAUGCCACCAACAAGAGCCAGGAGGUGCCACCCGAGG
This 512-nucleotide long non-coding RNA is filed under the name Nicotiana benthamiana. RNAcentral describes it as "long non-coding RNA (NBEN_LNC033865)". The record is from RNAcentral. Lineage: Eukaryota; Viridiplantae; Streptophyta; Magnoliopsida; Solanales; Solanaceae.